This 3011-nucleotide ribosomal RNA is filed under the name Homolaphlyctis polyrhiza JEL 142. Lineage: Eukaryota; Fungi; Chytridiomycota; Chytridiomycetes; Rhizophydiales. The record is from RNAcentral.
UAAGAAUUAAAUUCUACAAUACUAUUAUAGGAUUAGAACUUAGGCCAUAAGGCCCCUCAAGGGCUGUUGGCCCCAAUCGGGGAUUUACUAAUAUUAUUAUUUAUGUAAAACUAGCUAAUCCACAGCUAUGCUGUGCCCAAUCAACUAAUAUUCUCCUUUCUUGUAAUAGUUGAACAAACCUAAAAACUACCUUAAGAAAAAUCUAUAUAAAUUAAUGAAGGAGAGAGCUAACAAGAAAGAUAAAAGUAGAGGAAAUAGACAAAGAAAGAGGAAAAAACAAAAUAAUUAAGUGUGGAAAACAAAUUAAUUAAUAAAUGGAGAAGAAAUUCAAAGGUAAAACCGAAUCCAUAAAUAAAAAUUAUAAAAAAGAACUCAAUGAAUUGAAAUAUCUAAGUAAUUGAGAAAAAAGUAUUUUUAGUAAUGAAGAAUGAAAAAAAAUCAAAUUUUAGAAUGCAUAGAAUCCUUUCCAAAGUGUUUAUCAAAACCAUAUUAAUUAAUAAUAGAGUAUAGUACCGAGAGGGAAAGUUGAAGGAAGAACCAAAGAAGAAUUGGAGUGAAAAAGAACAAGAAACAAUUAAUUAAAAAAAUCAAUGAGCAAUUAAUAGCUUUAUGAUUUACCUUUUGCAUAAGGGGUCAGCAAGUAAAUAAUUAUAGUAAGAAGAAAAAUCAAAUUGAAUAAUAACUAAUUCUAAUUAUUUGACCCGAAACCUAAUGAUCGUAUCAUCAUCAGAUUUUAUAGAUCGAACCUGUUUAUGUAGCAAGAUAAUAGGAUGAAUGAUGAUAAGAAAUAAAAUAUCAAUCGAAUUAGGAUAUAGCUGGUUGAUCAUGAAAACUAUGGCAGUAGAUAAUUAAUAAAAUAUAUUAAAAGGUACAAACAAUUACUUUAAAAAAUUCGAAAUUUUUAAUUUUAAUAAUUAUUAAUAUUCAGAUUAAUGAUGAUAAGAUCUUUAAUCAAAAGAGAAAUAACUCCAUUUAUAUAUUAAUGUUCCUAAAUAAUUAUUAAGUGAAAAUAAAAUUUAGUCCAUUUUAGAUCUUUUUAAUGUUAGCUUGGAAGUAGCAAUCUUAAUAAGAGUGAGUAAAAUCUCAAAUUCGAUCGUUUAAAUGUGGACUGAAUUGAAAAUAAUAGGAUCUAGAUAAUUUACAUUAAUAAUAAAAAAGAUCUCAAAAUCUUUUGGUAAUGAUCUAAAUUGUUUUACAAUUGUAAUAAUGCUGAUAUGAGUAACGUAAAAAUUUUCAAAUAAAUUUGAGAAAAUUCAAGGUUUUUGAUGAAAAUAAAAAUACAUCAAAAUUAUAUAGUUUCUAAAAUUUAAUUAAUUGAUGAUUUAAUAAUGUUCUAACUGGAAAUGUUUUUACUAUACUAAAACCGACACUGGUGAAUUUGAUCUAAGCAAAGAACCAUUUAAAAGGAACUCGGCAAAUCUACGAUUCUCGACUGUGACCUCAAAGUGCGAUCUGCCAAAUUUUAAGAAAAAAAAGAAUUAUUAUUCUCAUUAAUCAUAUAGUUAUUAUAAUGUUAUGUUAUUUUAAACCACCUUGAAGGGUCCAAUAGCUAAAAGAUCAUAAAAUAUUAACAACUCCACAUCUAAGGUAAAUUAAAAUAAAGAUAUAUUAAAAACUAAUGGUCUAAUUGAAUUUAAUUAAAUUUGAGAUAAUUAAAUAAUAACAAUCAAUCCAAAUGGCUCAUUUAGAAGAAUAUCUACCUAAAAUAUUAAUUGGAUUUUCUUAAAAAACAGAUAGAAGGAUUAAUUUUAAGCUAAUGAAGCAACUGAAAAUUGCUUAUAAGAAUAUAUAUUCGACUGCAAACAAAUUAAAUUUAAUAAUGAUGAGUCGUUUGAACAACUUCCAGUUGUUGAAGGUAAAAUAUCCAAAAGUUUGUGAUGUAAUGGAAGCAUAUCAGACUCAUGAUCUGAAAGUAGCAGUUCGAUUCUGUUCAGACGAAAUGAAAGGAUUUUUUAUGGCCAUCGAAAAUUAUUAUUUGAGCUUUAUGCAUUGAAAAAUGCUUGUAUAGUUCUAUUGGGGGAAGAUUUAAUUAAUCUCCUAUCCAAACCACAAGACUAAGCAAACUUUAAAUAGAUAAUAUUUGGUCUGAUAUCUGCCCGGUGUUAGUAAAUGAAGCAGAUCAAAGAUCUGGAAAUUCUAAUUAACGGCGGCCGUAAUCCUAACGGUCCAAAGGUAGCGAAAUUCCUCGGCAUUUAAUUGAUGUCCCUGCAUGAAUGGUAUAACGAAGAAUCAACUGUCUCUUAAAUGGAUUGCGUGAAAUUUUAAUAAGGGUGCAGAUACCCUUAAAUCUCAGAGGGACGAGAAGACCCUUGAAAUUUAAAUGUUCGGAAAAUCAUCAAGAAUUUUCUUAGACAUUUUAUCUGGGGCGGAUACCUAUUAAAAAGUAACAUAGGUCAAUAAAGAUUAAACAAUCUUCGUAAUGGAAAAAUUUAAUUUGACUGAAGGAGAUUUAUAAAUCUCUCAGGGAAGAUCUUUUUAUCUUCGAUCAUAAUGAUCAAAAGAUUACUAAUCAAUCUUUUCUCAAGAAAUCAUAAUUACUCAAGGGAUAACAGGCUUAUCUUGAAAUAGAGACCUUAUCUUUUUCAAAUUUUGGCACCUCGAUGUCGGCUCUCUUUAUCCUGGUCUUGUAGAUGAGACCAAGGGUCUGGCUGUUCUCCAGAUAAUAAAGAACGUGAGCUGGGUUCAGAACAUCGUAAGAUAGUUCGGCCUCUAUCUUCUGAGAUUAUAGUAAAUAUAGAAUAUUUAAUUUUAGUACGAGAGGACUUAAUUAUUAAGAUCUAUGGUAAAAGGCUACAUCUUUGAAAAUUAAUUUCUGAAUUCAUCUUAAGAAAGAAAUUUUAUUCUUAUACAUAUUUACUUCUCAUUACACUCAUAGAAUAUGAGUCUUCAGGUCUAGACCUUAUCUAAAUAAUUUUUCCUCUUCAUCCAUUUUGAAUUAAAUUGUAUUACAUAUUGUUCUAUUAUUGAUUGGAACGAUGCAUCCAUCUGUAUAAUUAUGUUUUUUAUUCUUA